Non-coding RNA from Cinara cedri, 203 nucleotides. The record is from the annotation of a GenBank genome assembly. NCBI's taxonomy places the organism in Eukaryota, Metazoa, Arthropoda, Insecta, Hemiptera, Aphididae.
CGUUAUCGAAAAUAAAUACAAAGAUUAACUUUGGGUCACCUUACCGAGCCGACAACCUUAACCGCACCCUCCGAUCCCUCCUGGUGGUCGGUAACGUUAGGUUGUUUUAAUUUUUGAUCGCGAUUAAGCUUUCUUACUUUUUUAAGUUUUCCAUGUAGCAAUACGGAACCCUUCAUGCACUAGCCUAACUACAAGGCCAGAUU